AAUACCUAACUGCAAGAACUGCCACAUCCCUGGUGGUCUGACCGUGUCUCUGAGCUAAGCAGCAGAUUUCAGCCACAGGGUCUGACUCUCAGGCAGACACAUCCUGUCCAAGGACUGGAGACAGAGCAUCCGUUCUCCCACCCGGAGCGGUCAGCUGCAUGUGGCUGGCUGGGGGCGCUUCAGAAACGGCCCAAGAGAAAUGGAAAUAUGAUGGCUGGUUGAUUGUUUUGCAGUCUGCAUGACAGACCAC
This 250-nucleotide small RNA is filed under the name Pongo abelii (Sumatran orangutan). Its description in RNAcentral is "processed transcript". The record is from RNAcentral. Lineage: Eukaryota; Metazoa; Chordata; Mammalia; Primates; Hominidae.